AUGCUCUGGUUUCCCUUCAAACCUCGUGCUAAUCUUUCACGUUUUGCUAAUGAUUACCGUGGAGGGGAACAACUUAAAUGAGCUUAAACAAAUUGAGAAUAAUGUAGUUAAUCUAAAUGCAU
Molecule: small nuclear RNA, 122 nt
Organism: Uloborus diversus
Lineage: Eukaryota; Metazoa; Arthropoda; Arachnida; Araneae; Uloboridae
Product: U5 spliceosomal RNA
Exons: 1
Source: RefSeq, a predicted model, not a curated record